UUACGGCGGCUAUAGCGGUGGGGAAACGCCCGGUCCCAUUCCGAACCCGGAAGCUAAGGCCACCAGCGCCGAUGGUACUGCACUCGACAGGGUGUGGGAGAGUAGGACACCGCCGGAACAUCC
RNAcentral lists this ribosomal RNA (123 nucleotides) under Nocardia vinacea. The record is from RNAcentral. Lineage: Bacteria; Bacillati; Actinomycetota; Actinomycetes; Mycobacteriales; Nocardiaceae.